UGAGGAAUAUUGGACAAUGGGUGCAAGCCUGAUCCAGCCAUCCCGCGUGCAGGAAGACGGCCUUAUGGGUUGUAAACUGCUUUUAUACAAGGAUAAACCUACUCUCGUGAGAGUAGCUGAAGGUACUGUAUGAAUAAGCAUCGGCUAACUCCGUGCCAGCAGCCGCGGUAAUACGGAGGAUGCAAGCGUUAUCCGGAUUUAUUGGGUUUAAAGGGUCUGUAGGUGGAUAAAUAAGUCAGUGGUGAAAGCCUAUUGCUUAACAAUAGAAUUGCCAUUGAUACUGUUUAUCUUGAGUAUAUUUGAAGUAGCUAGAAUGUGUAGUGUAGCGGUGAAAUGCAUAGAUAUUACACAGAAUACCGAUUGCGAAGGCAGGUUACUAAGAUAUAACUGACACUGAGAGACGAAAGCGUGGGGAGCGAACA
This 422-nucleotide ribosomal RNA is filed under the name uncultured bacterium. RNAcentral describes it as "bacterial SSU rRNA". It matches the Rfam family "Bacterial small subunit ribosomal RNA", at positions 355 to 774 of the family's 1533-position model. The record is from RNAcentral.